RNAcentral lists this ribosomal RNA (534 nucleotides) under uncultured bacterium. RNAcentral's name for it is "bacterial SSU rRNA". It matches the Rfam family "Bacterial small subunit ribosomal RNA", at positions 977 to 1509 of the family's 1533-position model. The record is from RNAcentral.
GGCCUUGACAUACUAAGAACUUUCCAGAGAUGGAUUGGUGCCUUCGGGAACUUAGAUACGAGGUGCUGCAUGGCUGUCGUCAGCUCGUGUCGUGAGAUGUUGGGUUAAGUCCCGCAACGAGCGCAACCCUUUUCCUUAUUUGCCAGCGGGUCAUGCCGGGAACUUUAAGGAUACUGCCAGUGACAAACUGGAGGAAGGCGGGGACGACGUCAAGUCAUCAUGGCCCUUACGGCCAGGGCUACACACGUGCUACAAUGGUCGGUACAAAGGGUUGCUACCUCGCGAGAGGAUGCUAAUCUCAAAAAGCCGAUCGUAGUCCGGAUCGCAGUCUGCAACUCGACUGCGUGAAGUCGGAAUCGCUAGUAAUCGCGGAUCAGAAUGCCGCGGUGAAUACGUUCCCGGGCCUUGUACACACCGCCCGUCACACCAUGGGAGUUUGUUGCACCAGAAGUAGGUAGUCUAACCGCAAGGAGGACGCUUACCACGGUGUGGCCGAUGACUGGGGUGAAGUCGUAACAAGGUAGGCGUAGAUGA